This 345-nucleotide unclassified non-coding RNA is filed under the name soil metagenome. RNAcentral's name for it is "partial contains 5.8S ribosomal RNA, internal transcribed spacer 2, and large subunit ribosomal RNA". The stretch from base 1 to 120 matches the Rfam family "5.8S ribosomal RNA", at positions 35 to 154 of the family's 154-position model. The record is from RNAcentral.
GAUGAAGAACGCAGCGAAAUGCGAUACGUAAUGUGAAUUGCAGAAUUCAGUGAAUCAUCGAGUCUUUGAACGCACAUUGCGCCCCCUGGUAUUCCGGGGGGCAUGCCUGUCCGAGCGUCAUUGCUGCCCUCAAGCACGGCUUGUGUGUUGGGCCUCCGUCCUCCUCCCGGGGGACGGGCCCGAAAGGCAGCGGCGGCACCGCGUCCGGUCCUCGAGCGUAUGGGGCUUCGUCACCCGCUCUUGUAGGCCCGGCCGGCGCUUGCCGACACAUCAAUCUUUUUUCCAGGUUGACCUCUGAUCAGGUAGGGAUACCCGCUGAACUUAAGCAUAUCAAUAAGCGGAGGA